This 400-nucleotide ribosomal RNA is filed under the name uncultured bacterium. RNAcentral's name for it is "bacterial SSU rRNA". It matches the Rfam family "Bacterial small subunit ribosomal RNA", at positions 355 to 748 of the family's 1533-position model. The record is from RNAcentral.
UCGCGAAUUUUUCUCAAUGGACGCAAGUCUGAAGAAGCCAUGCCGCGUGCGGGAUGAAGGCCCUCUGGGUUGUAAACCGCUGUCAGGGGAGGGGAAACGCCAGUCGUGAAUAGCGGCUGGUUUGACUGCUCUCCAAAGGAAGCCCCGGCAAAACAUGUGCCAGCAGCCGCGGUAAUACAUGUGGGGCGAGCGUUGUUCGGAAUCACUGGGCAUAAAGGGUGCGUAGGCGGCGUCGUAAGUCUUGGGUGAAAUCCUGCGGCCCAACCGUGGGUCUGCCUGAGAUACUGCGAUGCUGGAGUGCGUGAGGGGUGACUGGAACGCGUGGUGUAGCGGUGAAAUGCGUAGAUAUCACGCGGAAGGCCAACGGCGAAGGCAGGUCACUGGCACGCAACUGACGCUG